RNAcentral lists this transfer RNA (73 nucleotides) under Camelus bactrianus (Bactrian camel). It matches the Rfam family "tRNA". From Rfam's summary of the family: Transfer RNA (tRNA) molecules are approximately 80 nucleotides in length. Their secondary structure includes four short double-helical elements and three loops (D, anti-codon, and T loops). Further hydrogen bonds mediate the characteristic L-shaped molecular structure. tRNAs have two regions of fundamental functional importance: the anti-codon, which is responsible for specific mRNA codon recognition, and the 3' end, to which the tRNAs corresponding amino acid is attached (by aminoacyl-tRNA synthetases). tRNAs cope with the degeneracy of the genetic code in two manners: having more than one tRNA (with a specific anti-codon) for a particular amino acid; and 'wobble' base-pairing, i.e. permitting non-standard base-pairing at the 3rd anti-codon position. The record is from Rfam by way of RNAcentral. Lineage: Eukaryota; Metazoa; Chordata; Mammalia; Artiodactyla; Camelidae. RNAcentral also lists the same sequence under 2 other names.
GAGGGUAUAGCUCAAGUGGUAGAGCGCAUGCUUAGCAUGCACAAGGUCCUGGGUUCAAUCCCCAAUACAGUCU